AGUCGAACGGAGUGUUGCGCUGAAAUUGAGAUUAGCUUGCUAAAGGAAAUUUCUUGUAACACUUAGUGGCGGACGGGUGAGUAACGCGUGAGGAACCUGCCUUACAGAGGGGGACAACAGUUGGAAACGACUGCUAAUACCGCAUGAUGUUUCGAGAGGACAUCCUCUUGAAACCAAAGGAGCAAUCCGCUGUAAGAUGGCCUCGCGUCUGAUUAGAUAGUUGGUGGGGUAACGGCCUACCAAGUCGACGAUCAGUAGCCGGACUGAGAGGUUGAUCGGCCACAUUGGGACUGAGACACGGCCCAGACUCCUACGGGAGGCAGCAGUGGGGGAUAUUGCACAAUGGAGGAAACUCUGAUGCAGCAACGCCGCGUGAGGGAAGAAGGUUUUCGGAUUGUAAACCUCUGUUUUUAGUGAAGAAACAAAUGACGGUAGCUAAAGAGGAAGCCACGGCUAACUACGUGCCAGCAGCCGCGGUAAUACGUAGGUGGCAAGCGUUGUCCGGAAUUACUGGGUGUAAAGGGUGCGCAGGCGGGAUUGCAAGUUGGAUGUGAAAUACCGGGGCUUAACCCCGGAGCUGCAUCCAAAACUGUAGUUCUUGAGUGGAGUAGAGGUAAGCGGAAUUCCGAGUGUAGCGGUGAAAUGCGUAGAUAUUCGGAGGAACACCAGUGGCGAAGGCGGCUUACUGGGCUCUAACUGACGCUGAGGCACGAAAGCAUGGGUAGCAAACAGGAUUAGAUACCCUGGUAGUCCAUGCUGUAAACGAUGAAUGCUAGGUGUGGGGGGACUGACCCCUUCCGUGCCGGAGUAAACACA
This 816-nucleotide ribosomal RNA is filed under the name uncultured bacterium. RNAcentral describes it as "bacterial SSU rRNA". It matches the Rfam family "Bacterial small subunit ribosomal RNA", at positions 60 to 859 of the family's 1533-position model. The record is from RNAcentral.